GCUCGACUUCGUCGGUUCCUCGGGCCGAGGCACGUACGGUGAAUAGGGACGGUCGGGGCCGCCCGUACCGGGUCGUGAGAGGUGAAAUUCUAGGAUCGACCCGAGACGAACCGCCGCGAAAGCAUUCGGCAAGGACGCUUUCAUUAAUCAAGAACGAAAGUCGGGGGAUCGAAGACGAUCAGAUACCGUCGUAGUCCCGACCGUAAACGAUGCCGACCGAGGGCCCGGAGGAGUUACGUACGACCCUCCGGGCCCUCCCGCGAGAAAUCAGGAGUAUUCGGGUUCCGGGGGGAGUAUGGUCGCAAGGCCGAAACUUAAAGGAAUUGACGGAAGGGCACCACCAGGAGUGGAAUCUGCGGCUUAAAUUUGACCCAACGCGGGAAAACUCACCAGGUCAGGACACGGUAAGGAUUGACGGACUGAAGGCUCUUUCUCGAUUCCGUGGAAAGUGGUGCAUGGCCGUUUUUGGUUGGUGGAUCGAUCCGUCUGGUUAAUU
RNAcentral lists this ribosomal RNA (496 nucleotides) under uncultured eukaryote. Its description in RNAcentral is "SSU rRNA". It matches the Rfam family "Eukaryotic small subunit ribosomal RNA", at positions 833 to 1324 of the family's 1831-position model. The record is from RNAcentral.